RNAcentral lists this ribosomal RNA (2973 nucleotides) under Triticum aestivum (bread wheat). RNAcentral's name for it is "partial small subunit ribosomal RNA". Lineage: Eukaryota; Viridiplantae; Streptophyta; Magnoliopsida; Poales; Poaceae. The record is from RNAcentral.
AUGGAGAGGCCGGAAGAAAAGAGGAUACAAGACCGAGGGCCAAUAGAAGAGAAGGGGGGACUCGAGUAUGAAGAGUUAAAGAAAUGGAGGGCCAAAACUAAAGAAGAAAGGGAUCUACUUGAGGCUAAAGAAGAGAAGAAGGAGGGCAAAAGUGCCUGGCAUCUCCAUCUCCCUCACCCUCCUUCUCCACCUCCGGCCGCCGCCACGGCCAGGCCAGCGUGGUGGUGCGCCCCUCACCAUCACACCAUCACCACCAUCGCCGCCAGCCACGACCAUCUCCACCACGCACCACCAGCACCACUUCCCACGAGCCGCACCUCACACCACCACCAGCACCACGCCAUCUCCAUCUUCGCCGCCGCGCCACCGCUCGCACAAUCUCUUCUUCCCCUGCUGCUCCUUCCUUCUCCUCACCACGCUGCUGCUUCCCCUCUCACGCCCCUGGUACUGCUCCUUCUCACAUUCCUGCUGCUGCUGCUGCUCGUCUUGUGCCCCUGGUGCUGCUCCUCCUUCCCUCGUCCUUGCUGCUGCUCUCUCCCUCUCUGUUGCUCUUCUCUGAAUCCCCUACUGCUGCUACUCCACUUCCUGUGCUCCCCUUCUUCUUCUAUGAAUCUCGCUGCUGCUGCUCCUCCUCUUAAAACGGCUGCUGCUCCCUCUCCCACUUUCCUCGCUGCUGUUCCCUCUCUCUUCUCACCAAAAUUGCUGAUGUCCUCUUCUCCAUUUGCGUGCUGCCACACCCUUCCUGAAGCUCUCUCAACUUUAUUUUGUUCUGUAUUAGUACUAUUUUGUCUAUGGUUCAAUCUUUUAGUUAUUGUUGUACUGAUAUAUGUUAAGGUUGGAUUAUCCUCUCGGCUAUGGCUUACUAUUCAGGCUUAUGCGAGGAACACUACAAACAGCACGGAAAGUGUUCAAGAACUGAUAGGUAAGAUUUCCCAUCGAUUAGAUGAUUUAGCUCGGCAGCGAGAAGGAGUUUUUGAGGAUAGGCCUAGUUCUUACGAUCCUUAUUCCAGAGGCCAUCCUUAUGUUGCUCCUACUUGCCAUAUUUGUGGAUUUCAGGGCCAUUCGCCCGCUGAAUGUCAGCGUGGUUACUCCCAUCCUACGGAUUGUUUUGGCAUGAGCUUCGCUCAACAGCAUAGCUCAUACCAAAACAAUUACUCACAUGGGUGGCCUGAAAGCCUGAAUAUGUCAUAUAGGAGCAACAACCCUAAGAUCUCACAGUUUGGUUCUAGUAAUCAUAUGCAGGGAUUUAGGUACAAUGAGGAGAGCCACAACUAUGCACCACAACAAUUCCAUUCAGCUCCUACUCAUAUACCACAGCACCAGGAGAUGUGUCCAAUGGAGUUAAAUGGUCCUCCAUUUGGUCAACCAACAACUCCAGCACCUGUUGUGCAAUCUCAUGUGCAAGUGCCCACACAAGAUGAGUUCAAUGACAUAGACAAGCUCACACUUUUGAGUCUCGAGUUCACUUGGAGUGCCGAGGAUGAUCCUAUUAGGAAGGUUAUACUAGAUGAAAUGAAGAAGAUCAAGAGUGGAAAAGAGCUAGUGGAAGAAGUAAGGAAGAUUGAGAACAACAUCAACACUGGCAGCACUAUUUCUUCACAGCUAGAGCUGAGUGUUGCCGAGAUUCCCCUUGAUACAUGUGAGGUUCCAACACCGUCACAUCCAGUUGAGCAAGAUAGUAAGAGUCCAGAGGAAGAAAGACCUCAGAUUGAAGAAGAUGAACUAGAAGACAAGGAACAAGAUGAUCAAGAGCUGCAAUUCCCAAGUGAUCAAGUUGAAGACUCAUCAUCUACUACUCCUAAAGAAGUACAAGAAGCUGCUGUAGAUGAAGAUGAAGAACAUGAGAUUCAUUUGCCUAUUGUCAUACCAGAGCGUGAUGUGUCAGGUUUACCCAAUCCUCUUGAUGACAUGAUGCCUUGUAAUUUCUUUGCUACUACCUUGCAUUACAUGAUACCAUCAAUUAAGCUAGACUUGAAAAAUUAUUUGCUUGGACAUGAUCAUACAUACAUUGUUGGUGGCAUUGCUCUCAUUCCUGAUGAUGACACUUAUUUUCCUUAUGCUAGUUCUAUGCUUAAUGAAACAUAUUAUUCCCAUGCUAGUCUUGAGCUUAAUGAUAAAUUUCAUCCUCAUGUUAGUGUCGACCUUGCUGAUUUCUACCAUCCUAAACAUGUGCUUUAUAGUUAUGCUUAUAUAAUUGGAUAUUACAUUGAUGACUUGGAGGGCAUCGACCGUAUCACUUGUAGUUGUUUGUGUGAGUCCUAUUUCAGGCUUUUGCUACUGCACUGUUUACUACAUGCUGACCAGGUUCGAGGUGUAUACCAUGUUCUCGGGAUCGGUGGUGUAUACCAUGUUCUCGGGAUCGGUGGUAUGUUCCUUCGAAAGAGGAUACAAGACCGAGGGCCAAUAGAAGAGAAGGGGGGACUCGAGUAUGAAGAAUUAAAGAAAUGGAGGGCCAAAACUAAAGAAGAAAGGGAUCUACUUGAGGCUAAAGAAGAGAAGAAGGAGGGCAAAAGUGCAAAAAUGCAGAUCUGGGAGGGGAUCAAAAUCCCUAGCCGCAUCUCCAUUGCAAUCAGGCCUGGCAUCUCCAUCUCCCUCACCCUCCUUCUCCACCUCCGGCCGCCGCCACGGCCAGGCCGGCGUGGUGGUGCGCCCCUCACCAUCACACCAUCACCAUCGCCUCUAGCCACGACCAUCUCCACCAUGCACCACCAGCACCACUUCCCACGAGCCGCACCUCACACCACCACCAGCACCACGCCAUCUCCAUCUUCGCCGCCGCGCCACCGCUCGCACAAUCUCUUCUUCCCCUGCUGCUCCUUCCUUCUCCUCACCACGCUGCUGCUUCCCCUCUCACGCCCCUGGUACUGCUCCUUCUCACGUUCCUGCUGCUGCUGCUCGUCUUGUGCCCCUGGUGCUGCUCCUCCUUCCCUCGUCCUUGCUGCUGCUCUCUCCCUCUCUGUUGCUCUUCUCUGA